AGUGAACGCUAGCGGUAGGCCUAACACAUGCAAGUCGAACGGCAGCACAGUAAGAGCUUGCUCUUACGGGUGGCGAGUGGCGGACGGGUGAGGAAUACAUCGGAAUCUACUUUUUCGUGGGGGAUAACGUAGGGAAACUUACGCUAAUACCGCAUACGACCUACGGGUGAAAGCAGGGGAUCUUCGGACCUUGCGCGAUUGAAUGAGCCGAUGUCGGAUUAGCUAGUUGGCGGGGUAAAGGCCCACCAAGGCGACGAUCCGUAGCUGGUCUGAGAGGAUGAUCAGCCACACUGGAACUGAGACACGGUCCAGACUCCUACGGGAGGCGGCAGUGGGGAAUAUUGGACAAUGGGCGCAAGCCUGAUCCAGCCAUACCGCGUGGGUGAAGAAGGCCUUCGGGUUGUAAAGCCCUUUUGUUGGGAAAGAAAAGCAGCAGGUUAAUACCCCGCUGUUCUGACGGUACCCAAAGAAUAAGCACCGGCUAACUUCGUG
This 492-nucleotide ribosomal RNA is filed under the name uncultured bacterium. Its description in RNAcentral is "partial 16S ribosomal RNA". It matches the Rfam family "Bacterial small subunit ribosomal RNA", at positions 29 to 507 of the family's 1533-position model. The record is from RNAcentral.